Molecule: ribosomal RNA, 308 nt
Filed under: uncultured Spiroplasma sp.
Lineage: Bacteria; Bacillati; Mycoplasmatota; Mollicutes; Entomoplasmatales; Spiroplasmataceae
Description: bacterial SSU rRNA
Rfam family: Bacterial small subunit ribosomal RNA
Source: RNAcentral
GAGUUUGAUCCUGGCUCAGGAUUAACGCUGGCGGCAUGCCUAAUACAUGCAAGUCGAACGGAGUAGCAAUACUUAGUGGCGAACGGGUGAGUAACACGUAUCUAAUCUACCAUUUAGUGGGGAAUAACUGUUGGAAACGACAGCUAAUACCGCAUAAUAUUGCUGGAUAAUUUCCAGUAAUGAAAGGAGCUUUCAAGCUCCGCUGAUUGAUGAGGAUGCGGCGCAUUAGCUAGUUGGUAGGGUAAUGGCCUACCAAGGCAAUGAUGCGUAGCCGAUCUGAGAGGAUGAACGGCCACAUUGGGACUGAG